This 5130-nucleotide long non-coding RNA is filed under the name Drosophila guanche. Lineage: Eukaryota; Metazoa; Arthropoda; Insecta; Diptera; Drosophilidae. The record is from RNAcentral.
ACUAAACAUUUUAAUCGUAAAGCCCGUAAAGGAGCUGAAAAACGUAACUUCGGUCGACACCCCCUUCACCGUGAGCUGGAUACAUGGCUACAUGGAUACAGGGAUACAGGAUAGAGGGAAAUCGACGAUGUUCUACGAGAACAAAUUGGGAAAAUAUGUUAUGUCUAUGUAGAUGAUGUAAUAAUUUUUCCGAAAACGAAAAUGAUCACGUUAAACACAUCGACACAGUGCUACAACGACUCUGCGAUGCAAACAUGAGAGUGGCCCCAGAAAAGAAAAAGUUCUUUAAAGAAAUCGUAGAGUUCUUAGGCUUCAUAGUUACCAAGGGAGGAGCCAAGACCGACCCAGAAAAAGUAAGGGCAAUAAAGGAAUACACUGAACCCAAAACCUGGUUCAGUCCCAGGUCCUUCCUCGGGCUGGCGAGCUAUUACAGGAGCUUCGUCAGAGAUUUCGCGACAAUAGCGAGACCCUUAACCGCAUUACUCAAAGGAGAAAAUGGCAGUCAGUCCAAGAAAGUUGAGAUUCUGUUCGGUGAAACGCAACGCAACGAAUUCGACCGUCUGCGAAACAUUUUGGCGUCAGAGGACGUCAUCCUUACGUACCCUGAUUUCAAACUACCCUUCGAUCUAACUACCGAUGCCUCAGCAAGUGGCAUUGGGGCGGUUCUGUCCCAAAACGGCAGGCCAAUCACAAUGAAAUCGCGAACACUAAAAGAUUGCGAAUUACACUACGCCACAAACGAAAGGGAGUUGUUGGCAAUUGUAUGGGCUAUAGGGAAGUUACAAAAUUACUAUUACGGUACCAAGGAAGUAAGAAUCUUUACCGAUCACCAGCCCUUAACAUUUGCUGUGUCCGAUAGGAACACAAAUGCCAAAAUAAAACGGUGCAAAGCCUUUAUAGAGGAACAUAACGCUAAGGUGUUCUAUAAACCGGGUAAGUCCGAUGCUGCCACGGUGAAAAGCGGGCUCUCUGUCUUACACAGUGGAAACCACGAAUAAGCCCCUCAAGUGUUUCAGAAACCAAAUAAUUCUGGAAGAAGCUAGCCAGCCUCUGCGUCAAAACUUCAUAAUUUUCGGCGGCAAAACCCGCCACAUUAUUCAUUUUAUGUUUUUAUAUUUAUCUGAAAAGAUUUGUCUGUAAAAGGUGGAUUUGGUAACAAUGUUGAUAAUACGGCAGCAACGAAGUCGAGAAGCGACGGCGUUUCCAUAAUAUGCAUACUGUUUUGAAUAAAGCAGUAUAAAAUCUGCAUUUAAAACAAUUACAGCAUUCAAAUACAAUAACAACUUUUAUUGAUAUAUUUAUUUUCUCCAACCCCCAAGGGUCCGGCCACCAAUCCCCACCCCUCAUUUUGCACAUGUUGCGGCAGGUCAGGUUCAUACGCCAAGCCCCGAAAACAAAAUCAAAUCAUCAAAACGAAUUUUCGUUCCAUCGCUCUUCAGAAAGUCAGCUCACCAACACAUACAUUACUUGUAUGUCCGUGUGAAUCAAGACAAACCCGGUUUGGAGCGCUAAAAAAUCAUUGGCUACACGAACUUAUACAAAUGUAGCUGGGACUUCUAGCUGCGUGCUCUACACGCACUAAUACACAUGUAGCUGGGACUUCUAGCAGCGUGUUCUACACGCACUAAUACUUGUAGCUGCGACAGAGUUGGCAGAGGCCUGGGACUUCGAGGCACACAUUGAGCGGUGACGUUUCGCUUGGCUCAAAUUGAGAGUCUACUAUACUAUUUGGUUAGUGUCUAAGAUCUAAGAUGUGAAAAAACAAACCGCUACCUCUGAAAAAAUGGUUAAAUAAAUACCAGAUUUUACAAAUUCCUCAAAAAAAAAUGAAUCCUGAAUAUGAUUCAUGGACCGUGUGGCACUAGUGCGGCAAGUGUUCCAAACGGUUUCCACGAAAAUUGACGGCAGAGACCAUUACAGGCAACGAUGGUUAUCCAUUGUAUCGGCGUCGAUGGAAGAACUGUCACAACUAAAGUGAAAGGAAACGAUUUCGUAGUUGACAACAGUUGGAUUGUUCCAUAUUCGCCACUUCUUUCCAAAACAUUCAAAGCAAAUUGUAAUGUUGAGUAUUGCAAUUCGGUCAAGUCAAUUAAAUACAUUUGCAAAUAUGUCACGAAAGGGAGUGACAUGGCGGUUUUUGGUAUCCAAGCAUCCAAUACCAACGACGAAAUCACACUCUAUCAAGUUUGUAGAUAUGUGAAUUGCAAUGAAGCAAUUUGGCGUAUAUUUUCAUUCCCUAUUCACGAACGUCAUCCCACUGUUUUACAUUUGGGGGUGCAUCUAGAGAACGGUCAGAGAGUAUAUUUCACAGCGUCGAAUGCUGCUCAACGUGCCGAAAAACCUCCAGCGACAACAGUUUCCAGUUUCUUUUCGAUUUGUCAAGGCGAUCCGUUCGCACGAACUUUGCUUUACUCAGAAAUGCCACGUUAUUACAUUUGGAACGCUACAUCGAAGAAAUUUCAACGUCGGAAGCAAGACGAUGCAGUUCCUGGUCAUCUAGAUAUGCGUUCUACUGAUGCUCUCGGUCGUAUUUACACAGUUCAUCCGAAGAAUGAUGAAUGUUUCUAUUUGCGGUUGUUGCUGGUACAUGUUCGAGGGCCAACACCAUUUGAAUUCAUGCGAACUGUUAAUGGUAUCGUGUGCCCCACAUUUCGUGCAGCAUGUCAAGAGCUACAUUUGCUUGAAAACGAUACUCAUUGGGACACGACAAUCGCUGAAGCAAUUAUUUCUGCAUCUCCAAGUCAGAUACGCACAUUAUUGGCUAUUAUAAUUUCAACAUGCUUCCCAUCGAACCCACUUGACCUGUGGAACAAAUACAAAGAUAACAUGUCCGAAGAUAUUUUACAUCGAAUUCGCGUCAGCUCAAGAAAUUACGAUCUUGAGGUGAAUGGGGAGAUCCAUAACCAGACUUUGCUCUUGAUCGAAGAUAUGUGUUACCUCAUGUGCGGCAGUUUGUUAGUUAGGUUAGGAAUGCCAGCGCCAGAUCGCGGAAUGAAUGACGCAUUUAAUAGAGAAUUGGAACGUGAACAUGAAUAUGAUCCACAUGAACUAAUCCAAUCAGUUCAAACGAAUGUACAUCUGUUGAAUCCUAAGCAGAGGGAAGUCUAUGAUACACUGAUUAAUGCAAUUGAUGAUGGAAAUGGCGGCUUAUUUUUUUUGGAUGCCCCCGGUGGAACUGGGAAGACAUUCCUCAUGUCAUUGAUUUUGGCCACUGUACGUGCGAGAUCCGAAAUUGCGGUAGCAAUUGCUUCUUCUGGAAUAGCGGCCACAUUGUUAGACGGAUGCUGUACGGCUCACUCAGCGUUAAAAUUGCCAUUAAACCUUCAAACUACUGAACAACCAACAUGUAACAUUUCGAAAAACUCCGCAUCAAAAAUCAUCAUAUGGGACGAAUGCACAAUGGCGCACAAACGCCCAUUGGAAGCACUAGACCGAACAUUAAAAGAUCUGCGCAAUGACUCGAGAUGUUUUGGUGGUGCACUGAUUUUAUUAUCUGGCGAUUUCCGACAAACACCACCAGUCAUUCCAAGAUCUACUGCUGCAGACGAAACAAACGCUUGCCUCAAAGGAUCAAAUCUGUGGCGAUAUGUAAAGAAACUUCAACUGUCCGUAAAUAUGAGAGUUGCAUUGUUGAACGAUCUAUCUGCUGAUGAUUUCUCGAAGCAAUUGCUGACUAUCGGUAAUGGCCGUGUUCCUGUUGACAAAUCGAGCGGUUUGAUUUCAUUUCCUCCAAAUUUUUGCAAUUUCGUAUCAUCAAAAGACGAGCUUAUCAACAACGUAUUCCCGAAUAUCAUUGCUAACCACAAAAAUACUAAAUGGUUAAGUGAGCGAGCAAUUUUAGCCGCUAAAAAUAAAGAUGUAGAUGACCUCAAUCUUAUAAAUCAAAAUCAAAUCGUAGGUACCCUAUAUUCAUUCAAAUCUAUCGACUGUGUAACAAACGAAGAAGAAGCCACCAAUUAUCCAACUGAAUUUUUCAACUCCUUGGAUGUGCCUGGUUUACCACCGCACAAUUUAAAACUUAAAGUUGGCUCGGUAGUCACUAUGCUUAGAAAUUUAAACCAACUAAAACUGUGCAGUGGAACGCGUUUGGUGAUAAGAAAACUGAUGAGCAAUGUGAUUCACACGUCGAUACUUAAAGGAAAAUUUAAAGAUGAGGAAGUUCUUAUUCCAAGGAUUCCGAUGAUCCCAACGGAUCUUGCCUUCGCCAAGACGAUCAACAAAUCACAGGGCCAUUCCUUGACUAUUUGUGGCCUCAAUCUAGAAAAUGAAUGUUUUUCUCAUGGUCAAUUGUACGUGGCAUACUCACGUGUCGGCAAACCAUCCGCUUUAUUUGUUCUUGCACUUGACCAAAAAACAAAGAAUGUGUUCCAUGAUCAAUGUUUACCACAAAGUGCUUGAAUGAAAAUCCUAUUACCAUCGCAUUGGAUCAUUGCAACCCAUAGAAGAUGCAUCGCAUAAAUUCUUGCAAUAUGGGCAAUAUGGAAAACAACUUGACAGGCGUCAAGGGAUCAACACAGCUACGAAGAGAGCAAUUCUCCAAGAUCUACAGCAAAUGCUUCAUGAACAUCAUGCAUUGGUCAGGCUGUUCAAGACUGCUUUAGAGCGCAUGCCAAGUGAUUGCAAUUCGGUCAAGUCAAUUAAAUACAUUUGCAAAAUUUGUCACGAAAGGGAGCGACAUGGCGGUUUUUGGUAUCCAAACAUCCAAUACCAACGAUGAAAUCACGCGCUAUCAAGGUUGUACUUUUUUGUUUCUAUCUAUAUAAACAUAUUAUUUUACGUUCAUCAAAGCCUAAAUUAGUUCAGCUAAAAAGUAACACGACAUUCAUUGACUGUUAGGCGGUGCGAAGUUCGCCGGGUCAGCUAGUCAGCUAGCAUUUAAAUGUAAAUGAAACAAUACCGUUAGCAUGUAUAAAUUAUCUUUGUGCAUAUCCAUUUUUUUGGCCAUGAUGCUUCAAUCUCUUGUUUGGUAUCUGGAAAAAAUAAAAACGACAUAUAAAUAAUAAAUAAACUAUUUAAAAACUGCCAUCAGAUCAGUUUGAAUAUUAUUUCAUAAUAAUUUUUAAUGUAACUGUUAAAGAACUGUGCAACCCUGGCUUUGAUUUGCUACCUGAAAAUAUGUUGAAAAGCGUG